UGCAAAGCCGCGAGGCAGAGCGAACCCCAAAAAGCCGUCCCAGUUCGGAUCGCAGGCUGCAACCCGCCUGCGUGAAGUCGGAAUCGCUAGUAAUCGCGGAUCAGCAUGCCGCGGUGAAUACGUUCCCGGGCCUUGUACACACCGCCCGUCACACCAUGAGAGUCGGGAACACCCGAAGUCCGUAGCCUAACCGCAAGGGGGGCGCGGGCCGAAGGUGGGUUCGAUAAUUGGGGUGAAGUCGUAACAAGGUACC
Molecule: ribosomal RNA, 253 nt
Filed under: uncultured bacterium
Lineage: Bacteria
Description: partial 16S ribosomal RNA
Rfam family: Bacterial small subunit ribosomal RNA
Source: RNAcentral